Molecule: unclassified non-coding RNA, 211 nt
Filed under: Hevea brasiliensis (rubber tree)
Lineage: Eukaryota; Viridiplantae; Streptophyta; Magnoliopsida; Malpighiales; Euphorbiaceae
Source: RNAcentral
AGCAUCUCCUAUUACUAGAUGGUCACGUUUCCAAUGUUUAUUAUUACAAUACUGCGCAUCUAAAACAUUCAAACUCGAAUUCUAACUAAGAUAGACACUUCAUUACUAGAAGAAGAAAGAGACGAAAGCGAUAUCUAAUACCUUGUAGCCAGCAAUUCUAGUUCCACUGCUCCCUAUGAAAAGUGGCCUCAGAUAUAUUGGCAGUCGAUAA